This 576-nucleotide ribosomal RNA is filed under the name Lactococcus lactis subsp. lactis bv. diacetylactis. RNAcentral's name for it is "bacterial SSU rRNA". It matches the Rfam family "Bacterial small subunit ribosomal RNA", at positions 62 to 624 of the family's 1533-position model. Lineage: Bacteria; Bacillati; Bacillota; Bacilli; Lactobacillales; Streptococcaceae. The record is from RNAcentral.
UUGACGCUGAGGUUGGUACUUGUACCGACUGGAUGAGCAGCGAACGGGUGAGUAACGCGUGGGGAAUCUGCCUUUGAGCGGGGGACAACAUUUGGAAACGAAUGCUAAUACCGCAUAAAAACUUUAAACACAAGUUUUAAGUUUGAAAGAUGCAAUUGCAUCACUCAAAGAUGAUCCCGCGUUGUAUUAGCUAGUUGGUGAGGUAAAGGCUCACCAAGGCGAUGAUACAUAGCCGACCUGAGAGGGUGAUCGGCCACAUUGGGACUGAGACACGGCCCAAACUCCUACGGGAGGCAGCAGUAGGGAAUCUUCGGCAAUGGACGAAAGUCUGACCGAGCAACGCCGCGUGAGUGAAGAAGGUUUUCGGAUCGUAAAACUCUGUUGGUAGAGAANAACGUUGGUGAGAGUGGAAAGCUCAUCAAGUGACGGUAACUACCCAGAAAGGGACGGCUAACUACGUGCCAGCAGCCGCGGUAAUACGUAGGUCCCGAGCGUUGUCCGGAUUAAUUGGGCNGUAAAGCGAGCGCAGGUGGUUUAUUAAGUCUGGUGUAAAGGCAGUGGCUCACCAUUGUAUGC